This 235-nucleotide long non-coding RNA is filed under the name Sorghum bicolor (sorghum). Its description in RNAcentral is "long non-coding RNA (SBIC_LNC005912)". The record is from RNAcentral. Lineage: Eukaryota; Viridiplantae; Streptophyta; Magnoliopsida; Poales; Poaceae.
CAUAUAAAGCUUAUCUCAAAUUUUAGGAAUAUAUAUGCACCACUGGCAGGUGUCCACAGAUCUUCUAAUCUAAACACCGAACGUGAUAACGUCCAGUCGUCCACCCUGGUUACUCUCUACAUUGUUAGCCAUUUAACCUGUACACUUUACAAGUCUCGUGCCCAUGCCCAUGGACUGCCUACCCAAAAACUGCUUUCCAGGACAGGAGCCAAGUGCCCGAGAUCAGGGAUACCAA